This 87-nucleotide transfer RNA is filed under the name Clostridium celatum. RNAcentral describes it as "tRNA-Leu". It matches the Rfam family "tRNA". From Rfam's summary of the family: Transfer RNA (tRNA) molecules are approximately 80 nucleotides in length. Their secondary structure includes four short double-helical elements and three loops (D, anti-codon, and T loops). Lineage: Bacteria; Bacillati; Bacillota; Clostridia; Eubacteriales; Clostridiaceae. The record is from RNAcentral.
GUAGGUGUGCUGGAAUAGGCAGACAGGAUAGAUUGAGGGUCUAUUAAGGAAAUCCUUGUGUGGGUUCAAGUCCCACCAUCUACACCA